CGUCAGUUUUUGUUGUUGUCAUUUUAUCAUAGCACAGGGUUAAUGACAACUUAUUUUCAUGUGCCUACAUUUUAAAACUUUGCUCAGGAACUUGGCCUCUAGAAACCUGUCCCUCAUCUGCUGGGGGCACUUUCACGGGGAAGCCUCAGACUGUUUUGAUCCUUAGAAUGAGUCCUGGGCAAUUUGAACUUGUGGUGUGGCUGCAUCUUCGCUUAAAAAAAAAAAAACAAAAAGCAAAAAAAAAAAAAAACAUAAAACUUAGAAAUCCCCACCCACAAUAAGCAUCACAAUUUAGCAGCUUAUCCAGCCCUUCUCUCUUCAGACUGUGAGGUCCACUUGUGAACUUACUUCCAAAUCUUAGCUAAUGAUCUGAGAUGAAAUGAAAUGAUAAAAGCCUGCAGGAAGGAUCCAGAAACUAACUCACCAAGGGCUUUAGAUGGCUCCACCUCAUGCCUUUUUAUUUUAUCUUAUAGCUCAAAAAGAAACUCCCUAACCCUGCGGAUGGCUAUGAAAUCCCAUCUUCAGUACCUUUCCACAAAUAUUAAACUUAUACAUUUCAGAGAAGAUCUCCUAAUGUUAUUCCCAGCAUAACAAAAUUUGAAAACAGUUAUUGCUACUUUAUCUAUUUUUUCCUGUGGUCUUUGUAUUUAAUUUUUUCCUAUAAGUGAAAUUUUUAAAAAGUUAUAUUUUUGCUAUUACCUGUUGUGUGUGUGAAGGCCAAGGAUCUAUUACAGAAGUUGAUUUAUUCAUGCAAAUGUGUGAAAACAUUAAAUUAGUUUAUGCUACCAGGUUCUGAAAAUUAUACCUUCUAAAUCACCUCUCUUCUAUUCAUAACUCUCCCACCAACAUCCCCAUGCAAACUCACCUAGUUGAUGGACACAACCUGCUAACUGGUCUUUGCAUCAAGCCACUUCCUUUAUCAAGUGAUAGUAAUGCAAUCCAUCUUCAUAAACAAAUAAAGCCCAGAUUGUUGGCUUCCAAUCCCCACACUAUCGUUGCUUUUCCACUGCAUGAGAAUAAGGCCCACCACCUUUCAUACAGCUUGUAGGGCCCUAACCAAUCUCAUCUCAGUCCAUCUUCAUUGGCCUAACUCAUUUUCUCUCACUCUUUAGCCUAACAUUUUCCCCAGCUUCAUAGAAUGAUUAACAAAUAAAAAUUGUCCAUGUUCAAGGUGAACAAUGUGAUGUUAUGACAUACAUAAACAUGUCAAGUGAUGAUCGUAAUCACACUCACUAACACAUGAGUCACUUCACAUAGCAUGUGCAUGUGGGUGCAUGUGUGGCGAGAACACGAGAUCUACUCUCUAAGUACAUUUCAAGUCUGCAAUACAGUAUCAUUAACUCCAUCAUCCUGUGUGCAUUGAGUCUCCCUUGUGGAAACUAAAACUACAGAAGUCACAGCAGCAAAGAGCAGAAUGGUGGUUGCCAGGGGCUGGAGAAGGGGAGUGAUGAGACAUUGGUCUAAGGGUCCAAGUUUUCAGAUAUAAGAUGAAUAAGUCUUGUCUAAUUGACUUUAUCUUCACUUCUCAUUUGUGAAUAUCAGGGAAACUCUCCCUGCUGGCCUUAUUCAGUGUCUUUUGUUAUACUUUCUCAUAGCAGUGGGUCCUUUGUGGGCAAAGCAAUUUCAUCAGUUAUGCCGCUUCUUGCAGCCCCAUUGUAUCUGUUGACUGUCUGUCUCCUUGUUGAGGGGUGGGGAUGUCACCUACUCACCACUGCAUGCCCUGCCCUCAGCUCAAUGGACGGCACAGAGCAUGCCCUAAAGAAAUACCCAAAACACAAGUUGAGAAGAUAAUUAUAUAAAGUAGAAAUAAUUCAGUGCUUGACUUCUGAAAACAAUAACAAGGUUUCUUCCAUCCAGACUAACAUCAGUAGAAUUUGUGGUGUUUUUAAAAGAAGAACAGAAAAAAACGGAGAUAGAAGGCAAGAAAAUGAGGUGUCAUUCACCACAAAAGCUACUUUACAACUCUAUCAAUUGACAAAACAACUCAAGUUGUCAAAGGGAUUAAAAUACAAAACAGUCUUCUAAACAAAUAUGACAAAUUUGUCUGCCCCUUGUUUUUACACCUUCAGCCUCCCAGAAAGCAAAGAAGAAAAAUAACUCACAUACACAGGCAAAAUUUUUGCAUCAUUAUGACUUUUCAAAAUGCUGUAAGAAUUACAACAGUCUUUAUUAACAUGAGUCUACAAAUUAGAUAUGCUUCUCAGAAUAAUAGAUUUUAAAAAUCUUGAAUGGAAAGAAUUGUGAUUUUUCAAGGAAAUUAGAUAAUAAAAUUGCAAGUUUUUAUAAACACCACAAUAUGGGAAUGCUUUAGGGUUAAGGACAGAAUAGAAAAUUCAUAAUGGUGUAAUUUCAAGUGAUUAGUAAACACAAAAUUAUACAACCUCCCUAGCAAUCAAAGAGCUGAAAAUUAAACAGCACUUCCCCCUCUAGCAAAUGAGCAAAGACGAAAAUCUAUCAUAAUACUUCAAGCUGUAGCAGGACAAUUGGAGUGAGCAUAAAUUAGCACAGAUUUCUGCAGAGCAAUUUUCCAAUACUCAUUAGUUACCUUAAAAAGGUUGUUAAUCAGUGUUUCCCCUUCCUUCUACUAUGUUGUCUUAAAGAAAGGCCCAUUAGCAAAUAUACAGAUGGUUGCAAAGAUGGAUAGAUGGAUGGGUGAGUGGAUGGAUGGAUGGAUGGAUCGUGAUACUGGUAGAUGGGUAGGUGGAUUUAUGGUGGAUGGAUGGACAGACAGAGGUAUAAUCUCUAUCUCAAUCUUUCUAUAUUAGGCUCCUGCUAGUCUAUAGCAUCCUAGUGUGAUUGGAAACUAGAAGCCCUUUCCACGGGACAGAUCCCAACCUCAGGCUGGCCAUUCACUGAAUGAAGCCUAUGCCACCCUCUGCAAGGUGUUUUGCUCCAAAGCUUAAUAUAGAUGGUUAAAUAUUAAAAAUGGAUAUUUUAAAGGUUUUUUUUUAAACCUAGAAAAAUGGUCACUAUAAAGUAUCGAAUGAAAAGUCAGAAUAUAAAAUGAUACAUAUAAUACAGUCACUAAUGUAUUAAAAUGCAAGGGGGCAGUGUUCUCUGAGUAGAAGCAUCAUAAAGAUUCUCUCUUGGAUCGAACGCUACUCAGGCUUCCUUCAUCCUUGAUACUUGAAUAACCUUCUAUAACUGAUCAGGUUUCUCACUGCCAACCAACCCCAAGGUGAUGACCUAAUCACACUGGACUGCCUUCAGCAAGUGCCCCCUCUAUAAGGUUGGUUUGGCCAGAAACCUCUCACUCCUGACACUUCCUCUUAGCAAUUUUCCACCCACUGUUCUUCACCUGCUUCAUGGCUACAAACCUCCACUUUGCAUGCUGUGUUCAGACCCUACUUCAGUGGCCCCUACAUAUACUGCAAUAGUCCUAAAGAAAAUGUGCUUUACCAUUCUGUAACAAGUGCUCAGAGUGGUUUUUCUUAAGCAUGAGAUUGUUACUUUUUCUUUAAAAAAAGUCCGGAAUACUUUUUCUCUCUUGAAAUGAGGUCUUUGGCUGAAAUCCAGAACAUGUUCACUGUGGAGAUUCAGAAAAUUUGAGUGAUUUGAAAGGAAAAGGAGUGAGAGUGUUUGCAGGUUGGCUUUUGCUCAAGGAUGAAGGGGGAAGAGCAAUCUUCCCAGCUAGGAGAGAGAGGGGAGUGGAGACCCAGUCUUGGGUCAUUUUCUUACCUGGCCUCAUGAACUAUUCCUGAACACUGUGGGGAAGAGCAUAUUGAAAGCUGAAAGAGCUGUUUGACAUCUUCUAAAACCCAGCAGGCUGUGCAAGAACCCAAGAAACAGAGUUGGAUUCAAUCAUUCUUCUGGUCAUCCACUUUAGCUCUUUCCCCUCCCUCUAUAUAUUCCAUUUCUCCUUAAACCUGACUCCAAAGAACAAUGUAAAGGGGAGAAAUACCCAUAAAUAAACAUAUGGGCAAAUAAAUGAUCCAUCUUACUCUAUGAUAUUUUUCCUUAGCCACCAAAAAUAACGCUGAAAAGUGCCAUGGUUCCUCAAAGCACACACAGGCAUCAUAUUGCAGGUGGAUUAAAUUUCCAUCUCACACCAUGAUAUACCUAUAACCUAAGCCCAUAAACAAGAAAACUAUCCAUCCACAUCAUCAUUCCACUUAGUAUCAAGUGAGGGAAGAAACCAAAGAGAUGAACAAACAUCAUCCUUAUAAUUAAGUAAAGAUAGAAUAAGAAAAGAAUGGGACAUGUGUUACAGAUUUGAAUUGUGAGUAUUGUUUCCUCCCAUAAAUACAUAAUAGAAGUGGAUGGCUUGCUACCCAAAAGGAUUUGCACUAAGUGGAACCAUUAAAAGUGCUCAAGAACUUGCUAGAAAUAUAGAGUCUCAAUCUCUUCUCGAGCUGCAGAAUGAGAACCUGUAUUUUAACAAGCUUCUAGAUUAUUUGUAUGUGCACUAGUGUCUGGAUAGCUGAGGUGGAGACUGCCCAAGAAUCUGCAUCCAGGAUGACAUCCAGGUGCUAUAAGGGAUGAGCUUCCCCCUCUUUCCCAAUUGGAUUUGGUGCUCUGCAAACUUCCAGCAAACCACUGAGGCUUAGUCCAGAUAGACCAGGUGCUUCAACCUUAACAACCAAGCUUGAAAUAGUAAACUGAGAACAAGGACAGUAAGAGAAUGUUUGUCUGAGCAUUUCUGGGAAACAUGCCACACAGCAUGAUAUCAUGAUUCACAGGUGAUGAGAGCCCCACAAACUGAGGUGCUAAUAGCGAGAAGCAAUUACGAAGGCUCAUUCUUAUUUUAACAAACAUGAAUGAAGUUAGUAGAAAAUUGAGUCUUUAAAUUCAUGUCAAGUAGACAAAAAAAGUUAUGGAUAUAUGAGUUUGAAUAUUAUAUUUUUGCUCAAAGAGUAUUAUCAAGAGAAACUGGAAUAAUAAUUCCUUCCAUUGCAAGUUUAAUGAGAAAAUGUCACAUAAAUAUCAACUACUGUAGAUUUUCCACCCAGAAUACCACACUAAAAAAUACAUAUGCUUCUUAAAAACUGGUGGGUUUUUUAAAUGACAGAUUUGUGCUCCUUAUUUUGUACAUAUCAUACCUCUAUUUCUAGAAAUUUUAUUUUCUAUUUCAGUUAUUCCAAAAACAUCUUUUUAAGACUGAAGAGUUUUACUAAUUAAAGAGAAAGAAAAGGGAUAGAUAUUUUUCUAAUCAGAACUCACUCCCAAGGAAUGCCAAGUAAGUACUGGAAAAAAGCCUCAAACUUGCUUAUGGGGUCUUUGUAAGAAGGUGCCCCAAGGAUCCUAAAUGUUUGAUUGAUGUGACAUAUAUAAAAAAAUUAACUCUUCCAAUAUGCUGCCACAACUGAUUAAGAGCAGAUAAACUUUAAAAUAGUCAAAUGCCUGGAGUGAAUGCAAACCAAUAAACUUCAUAUAUACAUAUAUAUACACACACACAUAUAUACACAUAUACACAUACACACAUUAUAUAUAUAUAUAUAUAUACACACACACACACGUAAAUAUAAAAUUACCACUUCUCAUGUAAGAAAAUUUAUAACUAUUCUUCCCAUCUCUCAAGAAUGAAACAUGGCAAUCCAAAUCUCAAAUAUGUACUCUAUAAAGAGAUGAAGAGAGAUAAAGAAAGAGUAAGAGAGACAGGGAGAUGGAGGGAGGGACAUACAGACAGAAAGAAAGGAUUGGGGUAGAUAGAGAGAGGAGGAGAGGGAGAUAAACUGCUAGUUCCAGAGCCUACAUUAUGUCAGCCUGAUCCUCCUUGUGGCAAAGGAAAAGGAUGAGGAGUAUAAGUUAGGUGGCGCAACAACAAUCAGGAACCCAAGCUAACUCACAUAAAUGUGUAUUAUGGAGUGUCCCAGGCCAGCUGUUUCCCAGUCCAUGGGUUUCACAAUACUGUGAAGCCUCAUGGUGGGUGGGUUGGGGCAAUAUGGGUUCACAAUGACUCCCUUUCCUCUGGUCAAAUCUCCAACCUAAGAAAAACCAGAUGAUCACUCCAUCUCCUCUGAACCUCAGAUUAAAUGCUGCAUGUGAGGCUGUGCCUUUGAGUGCUCUGCUAAGACACAAUGUUCUGGGUGAACAAGUCUGUCCCUGUACCAAAUUCUGUAUUUUUGCAUCUUUUAUUUUCUUCAUAAAACAGAGCAGACAUAUUGAUAAAUGUGCACAAGCCCAUAAUUACAUCUAUGAGCAUAGAAUGUCCCAGAAGGUAUAUGCUUCAUGCAUAGAACUUUAACUAGGGUCUUCCCCAACUCAUCAAAAUUAAUUUCCUUUACAAAUAAUACAGACCAUCAGGGUUUGGGAUGGGGAUGAUUUCAUGCAUCUGUUUCCUGGGCCUGUGCCUGGAAGAACAUUGACCUGGGCUUAAUGUUUUGUUGUUGGUGUCUUGGAAUUUGUUAUAAAUUGUGAAUAAGACACUCUCCAUUUUCUUUUGCAUUAAACCUCAAAAAUUACAGAGCUGGUCCUGGUUAUAGAGAUAAGAUUUUUUGGUCCUUUUUUAAACAGGAAUUGUAAUUCUCUUUUAAAAUUUGAAACUUUUACUUAAGAUGUGCCAUGAGAAUUUUAUUUUAAAUGAUUCUUUAGAAUUUUCCUAUAUAAUAUGACAGAUCUAGGUCUGUGUAGCAGAAAUAAAUUCUUACAAAAGCCAAGGCAAAAAAAGGAACAAAUAAAAAGUAAAUUGAUUCCUUUUUUUUUUUUUUUUUUUUUUCCUUUUUGCCUUUUUGCCAUUUCUUGGGCUGCUCCCACAGCAUAUGGAGGUUCCCAGGCUAGGGGUCAAAUCGGAGCUGUAGCCACUGGCCUAC
RNAcentral lists this long non-coding RNA (6749 nucleotides) under Sus scrofa (pig). RNAcentral's name for it is "lncRNA (ENSSSCG00040037773.1)". The record is from RNAcentral. Lineage: Eukaryota; Metazoa; Chordata; Mammalia; Artiodactyla; Suidae.